UACGUAGGGUGCAAGCGUUGUCCGGAAUUAUUGGGCGUAAAGAGCUCGUAGGCGGUUUGUCACGUCUGCUGUGAAAACUGGAGGCUCAACCUCCAGCUUGCAGUGGGUACGGGCAGACUAGAGUGCGGUAGGGGAGAUUGGAAUUCCUGGUGUAGCGGUGAAAUGCGCAGAUAUCAGGAGGAACACCGGUGGCGAAGGCGGGUCUCUGGGCCGAUACUGACGCUGAGGAGCGAAAGCGUGGGGAGCGAACAGG
RNAcentral lists this ribosomal RNA (253 nucleotides) under uncultured bacterium. RNAcentral's name for it is "partial 16S ribosomal RNA". It matches the Rfam family "Bacterial small subunit ribosomal RNA", at positions 524 to 776 of the family's 1533-position model. The record is from RNAcentral.